Molecule: long non-coding RNA, 2176 nt
Organism: Cyprinus carpio carpio
Lineage: Eukaryota; Metazoa; Chordata; Actinopteri; Cypriniformes; Cyprinidae
Source: Ensembl
GUGAACAUUGCAGAAAAAGUGUCAGCAUUUAUAUGACAGCAUUUAUGAUAUACGUAAAAAAAGACAUCUUAUUUCACAAUUUUAUAACAGCAUUUAAUAUAUUUAUCAAACUGUGUAAUAAUUUUAAGUAGCAAAAUUAAAAAAGAACCAGUAGUAACGUCCCGUACACAUUCCAAACAAAGUAAAAAACAGCUCGACAUUUUUACUCCUUUGACGACUUUCUGAGACAAGUGCAUUUGAAAGGGCAUUUCAGAUGAAUGAGGCAGCAGCAGCAGCAGCCUGUUCCUGCAAAUCAUCACUUCAGAUUCUCUUUGAGAGUCUGUUUGAGCUCCCUGUUGUUCAGCUGGAGGUAUUUAUGCACCCGGCUGCGAUGCGUGUUCGUUUGUGAUCUAUAAUCCACACGUUUGGGUGCUCCCAAACCUUCAUCGUUGGCCUGCUGUUCUAAGGCACCUUCAGCUGUUUGAUUGUCUGCAAGUGUCAUCGUUAGCAAUACACAAGCAUUUGAGGCACACCUGUCAGAAGAACAACAGGACAAGAACACAGCACACAGCACUGGAACAUCACCUUCGUGGAAAGUCUUGAGGAAAUGGUCUGAAAUCGUAAUAAUUGCAAAGGAAUGAUGUGGAUUUUGUGGACUCUGACAGUCUGUGUUAUAUUCACACCGUCUUCAUGGUCUCUAACACUAUACUGACGACAUUAUGUGUAUUAAACUAUCGAUAAUGCACAAGCAAGCCAUGUGAAAUUGUAAACCGCAAAAGUACAGGCACCUCAGUAGAUUGUACCUCAAAAAAAAGCAUGGAACGAUAUCUAUUUUCGAUAAAUUAAAUUAUUAAUCUCAUAUUUUAAUUAAUUUCACUUUACAAUAUGAGUUUACAAAUAUAUCUAUAUAUAUAUAUAUAUAUAUGUGUGUGGAAAAUAAAUUACCCGGGUUUAUCGCAUAUCAUAUACAAACUCUUAAAUAUUCAUAUCAGAAAGAAAAUAACACAGGAAUGUUUGGAAUGACAUGAUGGUGAGUAACAGAUUACAUAAUAUUAAUUUCUGUGCGAACUGACCCUUUAAUUAAAGCAUAUUUACGCUAUCCAGAGGACACCUUGAGACAUUUACAGUAAUAAAAACCUCUGUGUAAUUACUAUUGAUUGACAUAUAUAUACCAACACAACUCUUGCUAGAACUUUAAUAGGUUCUUAUAUGGUAACUUGUAGGUUAGAUUAGCUAUUGAUUGCAUUUAUCGCUUGAGUUGUACUGUAAAAUAUGAUUUGGUGUAUUGCUCUUUGAGCACAUUUUGAAUGUCACCAAUUACUGAAGAGAUGCCUUAAAUACUGAUAUCUCAAGUAAUACUUCAGUGCCUGAGAGAAAUCAUGUCAUUAUGUAAAGCCUGUGAUGUAUGACAGCAGAACAGUAAGGCAAACUAAUAUUUCAGAAGGGUAAAAUUGUUGUUAAUUUUAUGGUACAUUCUCUCUUAAUUAGAAAAAAUGACUCCUUUAAAAUCACAAAAUUCAUAUUUGUUUCUUGUGUUCUCAGAAAUGGCUAAUUAUUGUUAUACAGGUAUCAAAACCUGAUGUUCAAGUUGUUUUUCUGCAUUUGAACAAAGUGUCGGUCCUCUAUGAUGUUACUGGCCUCUGGAUUGCAUCUCAUCACAUCCGUUCUGUCUUUCAACUCUGUCCAAAUAACACUGUUAACAACAAUGAAUCAAGCAUAAGCCAUGAUACACCAGUAGAGAAAGAUGAAGAGUCUGUUCUGGGGUGCGUCGGAGUUCGGUAGGUGUAUUGAAGUCAGCACAAAUACUCAAAUGCUUUUGACCUUGAGUAUUCUCACAGCUUGUUGCCUAUUAAAGCAGUUCUUUCUUUUUCUGAGGGUUUUAUUAAGGCGCUGAGAUCCGCUCAUAUGUGAAUGUGUUGGGGAAAUAUAAGGCAGAAUAUUAAUAUCUUCAUAUUGAUAUGCAACCUGCAGAAAAUUUCCUCCAACGCUCCAUUUUGAGAAUGGCUUCUUCAGAAAAAGGAGGGAAGUCUGUGACCAGCGGCAUUCUUCUUUUUGAGCCAUGUAAAUCCAGAUCUGCGCAUCUUACAGUGCUGUGUAAAACUCAUUUGGGUCCUGAACAGGUGCGCCGUGGCCUCUCAUCUCUGGGCUCUUGCAUUCUGGGGUCUUUCUUGAGGAAAAAGGAAGUUAUAGAGGGUCG